Long non-coding RNA from Ceratina calcarata, 256 nucleotides. RefSeq lists it as uncharacterized. Lineage: Eukaryota; Metazoa; Arthropoda; Insecta; Hymenoptera; Apidae. The transcript is spliced from 3 exons. The record is from RefSeq and is a predicted model, not a curated record.
CAGUAUUAUCAAAACUCAUUUGCUACCUAUAUUAGAUUGUGAAAUAUUGCAGACAGGUUACGAUAAGGAUAGUGCCUCAAAUAAACUCUCAUUCCAAGCACAAGUAUUCGGAGACGCAAUACAGAAUUUCCAUCAACAGUUAGUUGAAAUAACACUCGAAGUCGCUGCACAAAAACUUUUGCUCAGAAAUUAUGUUGAUGAUACUACGGGUCUGUCCAAUACGACACGUACACAGCUCGUACUCGCUAAAGGAGAA